AUACUGCAGAGCAGCACCAAAUUAAACCACAGCAUGCCACGGCAAAAAGCAUGAGGCCCACUGACCUGUGACAUUAUGGUGAGCUACACGGGAUUCUACUACAAACUACAGAGGAGCUUCUACAAACCCAACUGUUUCUGCACAGACCAGACCUACUAGAGAUCCCAGAGUCUGCUCAGAGUCACAUAGCUGCCUGGAUCCAGCCACAGGGAGGGACCAGAGAUGGAAGCUGGGACUGCUUCUCCAGAUGAAGAAGAGUAAACGGCAUCUGGAGUCACUUUUCUGAUGAGAGCAGGGCUCUGCUGUACUACACUGCUCCAGGAAUGAAAAUGUUCAGCCUUCAUUGGCGUUCCCCAAGUCCUAGCAUCUCGAUGCGCUCCUGUCCUACGUUUUGGUCAUCUCCGACUCCUUGGC
Long non-coding RNA from Cheilinus undulatus (humphead wrasse), 414 nucleotides. RefSeq lists it as uncharacterized. The transcript has 3 exons. Lineage: Eukaryota; Metazoa; Chordata; Actinopteri; Labriformes; Labridae. The record is from RefSeq and is a predicted model, not a curated record.